UCUGUUGGUUUCUAAGGAGAUGGAGAUUAGAUUCCACCUCCUGGUGGGUGCUGGCGCAGUGGGCAGCGUGGGCACCCAGCAGACUCGGCUGGUAUAUUGCAUGGUGUCAGGGACCUAGGUCCUUAUAACUUGUCGCUCUACCUUCUUCAACAAGUGGCUUCCACCCCACAGCCCGAGAUGGUCCCCUGGUGCCACAGCCAUCAGAGCCUCAUUGCAGCCAGCAGGAAGGCAGAAGACAGAAACCAGAGGCAAAGGGCUCACUCUGUGCAUCUAAUGGGCCAAAACCUAGUCCUGUGGCCACAGCUGGAUGCAAAGGAGGCUUGAGGAUAUUGUCUCCAAACUGGGAAGCCACGUGCCUCACUUAAAACCAUGGCUUCUAGAAUUAAAGGGAAGGGGAAGAGCGGUGUCAAGACAUAUA
Molecule: long non-coding RNA, 418 nt
Organism: Suricata suricatta (meerkat)
Lineage: Eukaryota; Metazoa; Chordata; Mammalia; Carnivora; Herpestidae
Exons: 2
Source: RefSeq, a predicted model, not a curated record